This 1076-nucleotide long non-coding RNA is filed under the name Marmota monax (woodchuck). Lineage: Eukaryota; Metazoa; Chordata; Mammalia; Rodentia; Sciuridae. The record is from RNAcentral.
CUCUGCCUGCCCUGCCUCUACAGCUCAGGCUAGGAGCCCACCCUCAUGGUUCCUUUGAGGUGUCCUCUAAUGGCUUUCCUGUAUCAUCCAACAUGGAUGACUACUCCUUUCUUCUGAAAGCCUUUGUGCCUGUGCUUCCCAGACUUCAUCUGCCCAUCUCUGAAACCUUUUUUCUUAAAAUAUUGUUCCAUGAACCCUCCUACUCCAUCCCCAUCAAUAAUGCUCAUUUUGACUCAGCUGUUGUCUUCACCCCCGUAUGCACUUCUGUGGGCAGAGUCCCAGGCAAGGCCCUCCUCAUUCUGCAGUUAGAUGAGCUUCAAUCACUGAAAAUUCCUACCUCUGCUCACCUUCCAGGAUGGCCUUAGUUUAAAAACAAAAACCAGAGUAUAACAAGUGUUAGGCAAGGCUAGGUAGGCCCUUGUGCAUUGCUGGUGGGAAGGUAAAAAACGAAGCAAAACACAACAGAACCACGCACACAAAAACAAAACCCACAUGCUGGAGGAAAUAGUUUUGUAAUUCCGUAAUCAAUUGAACAUAGAAUUACUCAGUGCCUGGGUCUGUUCUUGCUGUUAUCACAAAAUAUCUUAAACUGGAUAAUUUAUAGCAACAGAAAUUUAUUUCUCACAGUCCUGGAGGCUGGGAAGUCCAAGAUCAGGAUACUAACAGAUUUGUUGUCUGGAAAGGGUUCUCUGCUUCAUGGAUUUGACUUCCUGCAGUCCUCAUGUGGUGGAAGGGGUGGGCAACUCCUGGGCACCUCUUUUCUAAGAGUGCUAAUCCUAUUCCAGAGGCUCUGCUCUCAUGACUUUGGCCUUAAAAACAUCAUGCUAAGUGAAAGAAUCCAGACACAAAAGGUCAUAUAGUGUGUAAUUCCAUAAAUCUGAAAUAUCUAGAAUAAGUAAAUCCACAGAACAAAAGCAGAUUAGUGGUUGCUAGGGGUGCUGGGAGAGGGGAAUGGAGAGUGGCAACCCAGGAUUUCUUUCUGGGUAAUAAAUACAUUUUAGAAUUAGGUAGAGGUAAUGGCUGACAAUAUGAAUGUGCUAAGUUCCACUGAACUGUAUACUUUAAAAUGGUUAUUU